RNAcentral lists this ribosomal RNA (501 nucleotides) under uncultured bacterium. RNAcentral describes it as "bacterial SSU rRNA". It matches the Rfam family "Bacterial small subunit ribosomal RNA", at positions 1 to 507 of the family's 1533-position model. The record is from RNAcentral.
GUCACGAGUUUGAUCCUGGCUCAGGAUGAACGCUAGCGGCAGGCCUAACACAUGCAAGUCAGGGGUAGAGUUCUUCGGGACUUGAGACCGGCGCACGGGUGCGUAACGCGUAUGCAAUCUACCUUAUACAGGGGAAUAGCCCAGAGAAAUUUGGAUUAAUGCCCCAUAGUGUUAUCGAAUCGCAUGGUUUGAUAACUAAAGUUCCAACGGUAUAAGAUGAGCAUGCGUCCCAUUAGUUAGUUGGUAAGGUAACGGCUUACCAAGACAAUGAUGGGUAGGGGUCCUGAGAGGGAGAUCCCCCACACUGGUACUGAGACACGGACCAGACUCCUACGGGAGGCAGCAGUGAGGAAUAUUGGUCAAUGGGCGCAAGCCUGAACCAGCCAUGCCGCGUGCAGGAAGACGGUCCUAUGGAUUGUAAACUGCUUUUAUACAGGAAGAAACCCUCCCACGUGUGGGAGCUUGACGGUACUGUAGGAAUAAGGAUCGGCUAACUCCGUG